GACGAACGCUGGCGGCGUGCUUAACACAUGCAAGUCGAGCGGUAAGGCCCUUUCGGGGGUACGACGAGCGGCGAACGGGUGAGUAACACGUGGGUGACCUGCCCUUAGCUCUGGGAUAAGCCUGGGAAACUGGGUCUAAUACCGGAUAUGACUCCAUGACGCAUGUUGUGGGGUGGAAAGCCUUGUGCGGCUAGGGAUGGGCCCGCGGCCUAUCAGCUUGUUGGUGGGGUGAUGGCCUACCAAGGCGACGACGGGUAGCCGGCCUGAGAGGGCGACCGGCCACACUGGGACGUGAGACACGGCCCAGACUCCUACGGGAGGGCAGCAGUGGGGAAGUCUUGCGCAAUGGGCGAAAGCCUGACGCAGCGACGCCGCGUGAGGGAUGAC
Molecule: ribosomal RNA, 387 nt
Filed under: uncultured bacterium
Lineage: Bacteria
Description: bacterial SSU rRNA
Rfam family: Bacterial small subunit ribosomal RNA
Source: RNAcentral